Non-coding RNA from Cinara cedri, 299 nucleotides. The record is from the annotation of a GenBank genome assembly. Lineage: Eukaryota; Metazoa; Arthropoda; Insecta; Hemiptera; Aphididae.
CGAUAGUGUAAGUAACUAAUUAAUAAUUAUACGUUUAUUGUUCUGAGGGUGCCUAAUUUGAUAAACUGGGGCCACAAACUAAUUUAGCGCUAUCUGUAAUUUCAUAUAAAUUGCUUCCAUUGAAAAUUCCACUCCUUAUAAUCCAGUUCAGUAUUUUGAUGACUUGCGGUGGCAGUUCCCAAAUCUGUGAAACAUAACCAAAAGUUAUAAAACUUUGUAAAUGUGAAAAGUUCUAGUGUAUUUAAAUAGCCUGUUAGUUUCUACUACUAGUACAGUACUAUCUAUUAUUGAGCUAAAGU